Molecule: ribosomal RNA, 253 nt
Filed under: uncultured bacterium
Lineage: Bacteria
Description: partial 16S ribosomal RNA
Rfam family: Bacterial small subunit ribosomal RNA
Source: RNAcentral
UACGGAGGGUGCAAGCGUUGUUCGGAUUUACUGGGCGUAAAGCGUGUCUAGGCGGAUCUGCAAGUCAGAUGUGAAAUCCCCAGGCUCAACCUGGGACGGUCAUUUGAAACUGCAGACCUUGAGUAUCGGGGGGGUGAGUGGAAUUCCCAGUGUAGAGGUGAAAUUUGUAGAGAUUGGGAGGAACACCAGAGGCGAAAGCGACUCACUAACCGAUUACUGACGCUCAAGCACGAAAGCGUGGGUAGCAAACAGG